UGGGAACCUUCCCUAUGGUUCGGAAUAGCUCAGGGAAACUUGGGGUAAUACCGGAUAAGCCCUUCGGGGGAAAGAUUUAUCGCCAUUGGAUGGGCCCGCGUCGGAUUAGCUAGUUGGUGAGGUAACGGCUCACCAAGGCAACGAUCCGUAGCCGACCUGAGAGGGUGAUCGGCCACAUUGGAACUGAGACACGGUCCAGACUCCUACGGGAGGCAG
This 216-nucleotide ribosomal RNA is filed under the name uncultured bacterium. RNAcentral describes it as "partial 16S ribosomal RNA". It matches the Rfam family "Bacterial small subunit ribosomal RNA", at positions 118 to 351 of the family's 1533-position model. The record is from RNAcentral.